Gavialis gangeticus (Gharial) is the source of this 515-nucleotide long non-coding RNA. RefSeq lists it as uncharacterized. The transcript has 2 exons. Lineage: Eukaryota; Metazoa; Chordata; Crocodylia; Gavialidae. The record is from RefSeq and is a predicted model, not a curated record.
CCAAAGGAGCUUAAAGAAGUAAUGAACAUGCUAUAAGAAGGCUUCAGUUCGAGUAGCUCUAACUAACCCUUUGCUUUCAUUAUUAAGAGAAACCACUUGUAUUGUAGAAGUCCCAUUCAAGAAUCUAGGCACUAUGCAAACACACUGGGGGGGGUGGGGGGGAAAAUCAGUUGUCCCAAACAGCCCACAUCCUAAAUAGGCAAGCUAGUAGAGGAUGGGUGCAAACAAGCUCCCCGCCGUUACAGAGGAAGGAACAAGGCACAAGAGACUGACUGCAUGGUCCAGAGUUACAGGGAGCCCCACUCCCUCCUCUACAUGAAAAGACGCUGUUGAUCAAACCCCUUCCAAAGCCUGGCGUAUGGUCCUUUGUACUGAGCAAAUUAUGAUGCAUGCAGCAAACCCACUGGCCUUAUCUCCAAAGUGGAAUGAGAAUUAACUCAUUAUGAAAUCAGACUCCAUAUGUAUCCACAGAUGAGCUAGCCACUGCAACAAGUAAAACCGAAGGCAGUACCUAC